ACCAACCCCCCGGAGCGGCACAAGGAUCUUUAAUUUACUUCUCACGGGAAAAUUACCCCGGCCCGGAAACUGGGAGGAUUGACAGAUUGGGGGUAUCUUGUUCGUUUCCGUGGGUGGGGGCGCGUGGCUGCUCCGUACUGCCCCAGACUUUGUGUCGACGAACGGAUAACACUUAGGAGGGGAACCUAAUAGAUAGCCGGGGGCUAAUUUAUGCAACCGGGCAGCAACUUUCCUCUAGGGGCGGAUGGCCCGUAAGCCGUACGAGAUAUAGAAGUAACUGGUCUCCUGUGAGGUUAGGUGUCCCGCGCCCCACGCACUCUACAGAGAAGUGAUCAGCCUCCUCCUAAGCCCCCUCCGGUGGGAAAGGGUAGACCUUUCUCCCCUCAUUGGGAUAGGGAUUGAUGUUUAUUUUCCUUGCUCGAGAACUAUCAAGUCAGCGUAAGUGAUAAUCAUUCCCUUACGCCGAUUACGUCCUUGCCCUUACCGACCGCCCCCGUCUUUACUAGCGAUUGACUCGAU
RNAcentral lists this ribosomal RNA (519 nucleotides) under uncultured eukaryote. RNAcentral describes it as "partial 18S ribosomal RNA". The record is from RNAcentral.